AAUGAACGCUGGCGGCGUGCUUAACACAUGCAAGUCGCACGAGAACGCUUCAGCUUGCUGAGGCUAGUAAAGUGGCGCACGGGUGAGUAACGCGUGGGUAAUCUACCUCUAAAUUGGGGAUAACACUGCGAAAGCGGUGCUAAUACCGAAUGACAUUCCUUAAACCACGGUUCGGGGAAUCAAAGGUGGCCUCUACAUGUAAGCUAUAGUUUGGGGAUGAGCCCGCGUACCAUUAGCUAGUUGGUAGGGUAACGGCCUACCAAGGCAACGAUGGUUAGCUGGUCUGAGAGGAUGAUCAGCCACACUGGAACUGACACACGGUCCAGACUCCUACGGGUGGCUG
Molecule: ribosomal RNA, 343 nt
Filed under: uncultured Pseudomonadota bacterium
Lineage: Bacteria; Pseudomonadati; Pseudomonadota
Description: bacterial SSU rRNA
Rfam family: Bacterial small subunit ribosomal RNA
Source: RNAcentral